This 165-nucleotide ribosomal RNA is filed under the name Racocetra weresubiae. The record is from RNAcentral. Lineage: Eukaryota; Fungi; Glomeromycota; Glomeromycetes; Diversisporales; Gigasporaceae.
CAGUCGCGUUCUCUGGGAUUCAGCCUUGCUUCUGCUUGGUGCACAACACUCGCAUACAUGUUAGACUCCUUGGUCCCGUGUUUCAAGACGGGUCGUUUAAAAGCCAUUCCGUCAGGGUCGUGCUCGCGGCUUGUCCAUUGUGUUAAGACCGGUUGGUUUGGUUUG